GGGCCGCCAGCAGCGGAGCAUGCGCACUUAACCGCUAAGCCACGGGGCUGGCCCUAAACUAUAGUUUAAAUGUGUGGUCAACACUGCUGGUUAUUUAUGCCCUGUCAUCCAUUUUCCCCCUUCUUCUUAUAGUACCAGGCACAAGGUCUUCUAGAUUAAAGAAGAUUCGCAGUCUCGCUUCCAGCUGGUGUGUUCGUGUACUGGAAAAUGGCAUGUGAGCAGAUAUAAUCUCUGCCAUCUGUAUGUAUCCUUCCAGCCCAGUUUUAAAAGUUGCAGUAAACUUGAUUACAAUUAAAGAAGAGUAUGAUAACUAAUUGUAUGUGUCAGUUUGGCUGGACCAUGGUACCUAGAUAUGUGGUCAAGCAUUAUUCUAAAUGUUUCUGUGAGGGUGUUUUUCGAUAAGAUUAACAAUUAAAUUAGUGAACUUUAAGAAAAGCAGAUUGCCCUCCAUAGUGUGGAUGGGCCUCAUCCAAUCACUUUAAGGCCUGAAUAGAAUAAAAGACUGAUCUCCCCUGAGUAAGAGGGAAUUCUGCAGCAGAAGGCCUUUGGACUUCAACUGCAGCAUUGGCUCUGCCCUGGGUUUCCAGCCUGACUGCCAACCCUGUGGAAUUUUAACUUGCCAGCCUCCAUAGUCAGGUAAAAAAUGAAUAUUCUCCAAACUUCAAGUGGAGGUCCAGUCAAGGUGGGACACACCAAGAAAAUCUUUUCUUAAACUUUUGGGUCCUGCAUAUUGAUGCCUAUCCUCACCUUCUGUCUCACGGGAAAGAUGACUAAGAUAAAUGCCUCUCCUAUGCUUUAGAGCCCAUCCAAUCCCAUUUCUUCAAGGAUAUUGUUUCACAAAUUAAUCAUUUCUUUCUUCAUAGCUUCAUUUUAUCACUCUUCACUAUAUUUCCUUCUUUUCAGAAAAUGAAUGUAUAUACUUGAUUUCUCCUAUCUUGAAAACACCGUACCUUAGUUCUGUGUACCUCAAUCACAUUCACUCCUUUAAUUCACAGCCAAGCUUCUUGUAAGGGCUGUAUAGGCUUGCUCUCUCCACUUCUUUAUUCAGUAAUUCAGAAAUAUUUCUAAGCCAACACUUAGAGCUUGGGUUUUGCAUACAUUAUCAAAUUUAAUUCUUAACUGUCUGACAAAAUAUAUGUAGAUACCCCUUAUUCCCAAUUUACAGAUGAGGGAACUGAGAUUGAGAGGGGCUAGAGGCCUUCCUUGCUGAAGGUAACCUAAAUCCAAAGCCUGUCCACUAGAAUAUAGAUGUUGUCAUUCUCCCCUAAAAUUGUUAAUUGGUGUUCAUUGAUUGAGUGCUUACUCUGUUACUAUGUAUCAAGUACUGGUAAAGCUCUCUACCCAGGUUUUGUUUAGUUCUCAUGACAUCUCCGUGAAGUGGAUGCUCCCAUUCAUUCCUCAAUAUCUAUGGAUCUUCCAAAUUCAAAUGAAAUGUUUUUUCUUAAAUUGUGAAUAAUCUGUUGAAUGCCAGAUCAGGUGAAUACUUAUUUUUCCUUUUUAUUUGUUUCUCUGUGGCAUUUAAUAUUUUUGAAUAUUCUUUGUAGAGGAAGAUGUCUUCAUUAACGUCAAAGUGAAAAAAACUUGGCUUACAGAAUUUGUAAUAGGAAAAUUAGAAAAUACUAAUAAAAGGAGGAAAAAAUCAACAGUAUCCUACCAUUCAAAGAUGAUUACCAUUUCACUGUAUAUAGUUUAAGAAUUUUUUCUAAUACACAUUAGUAUAUAUAUAUUUACAUGCAAAGUCUAGGGAAGUUUCGUAACCUGUUCUUUUCACUGGUGAAGGUUGCUAUCUUUAUACGUUAAUAAAUACUCUUUUACAAAAUAAUUUUUAAUGAUUACAUAGUAUGGCUGUGUCAUCAUUUAUUUAAUCAAUACUCUAUUGUUGGAUGUUGAGGUUGUUUUUGAAUUGUUCUUUGGCUGCUAAAAAAAAGUGCUGUGAUUUUCCUUAGGAUAAUUUGCCAAAAGUGUAAUUACAAAUCAAAAUAUACACACAUUUUUUUUUUGUGAGGAGGGCCAGCCCUGAGCUAACAUCCAGUGCCAAUCCUCCUCUUUUUUGC
Molecule: long non-coding RNA, 2054 nt
Organism: Diceros bicornis minor
Lineage: Eukaryota; Metazoa; Chordata; Mammalia; Perissodactyla; Rhinocerotidae
Exons: 3
Source: RefSeq, a predicted model, not a curated record